CACAUUGUUUUUUUUUCUUUUUCCUCUAGAAAGAUAAAAACGAACUGACGCUAACACACACACACACACACACACACACACACACACACCCCACUAUCAGAUUUAAAUGGCUGUCUCUCUUGUCAUUAGCUAUGCUUUGGGCUUACCAAGUAUCUAUUGACCCUAAUCACAGUAAUAGAAUUCCCCUUUCCCUCAACAUCAGCAGGAGGUCAGUGAACUCUGUCUGAUUCCUUACGAAGACUUAAACCACAUUCUUGAACACCAACAUCACCAACCGUGCAUUUCGGCAGCAACAAAAUAUAUGGCACUGCUGUUCCUUCCUCCUCCUAACUUCCAUUCUUUGUCAAGGCACAAGGAAUGAAUGUUCAGAUGUGGAAUCAGAACAGGGAUUUAAAAUACAUCCCUGAAAAUUUUUCCUUGAUCCUGGCCAAAUCCCAGAAGCGGAUAUAAUAUUUAUAGCGGCAUCACACAGACCACAUAGGAUCUCAUACUGCUCUAUAACGUCUAGGAGCAGCCCUCAUUCAGAGUCACAGAAAAAAAGAAAUGCUAGGGGCUGGGGAUUUAGCUCAGCGGUAGAGCGCUUGCCUAGGAAGCGCAAGGCCCUGGGUUCGGUCCCCAGCUCCAAAAAAAAAAAAAGAACCAAAAAAACCAAACAAACAAACAAACAAACAAACAAACAAAAAAAACGAUGUUGAGGGGCUGGGGAUUUAGCUCAGUGGUAGAGCGCUUACCUAGGAAGCGCAAGGCCCUGGGUUCGGUCCCCAGCUCCAAAAAAAAAAAGAACCAAAAAAAAAAAAAAAGAAAAAAAAAGAAAAAAGAAAAGAAAUGCUAGACAGGACAGGCAAGUGGCUUCAUCCUAUAGCUCGGCCACCUUCCCGCAGGCUAAGCUCUCGUGAUGGACGUUCCCACUGGAUCCACCCAUUUACACAGCUGCAAAGGGUUCUGGGUAAACCAGUCUGCGCCUUCCUGCUCAGCCUUGUCCUUUGUCACCGGUCACCAACAGUCUCGUUUACUUCACAUUCCUCCAUGCAUACCCUUCAUCACGUUAAACAUGCAGCCGGACUUACCUGACAGUUAGCCUGAUGUAUUUUUCACACAAGCCAGGUAGGGAUAGAAUAGGAAAGAAAACACAUGAGAGGGUGUGAGAAAGAAAAGCAACCGUUUCAACAGUUCGCCGAACCGCGACAAAUCGAAAGGCAAGACUAGAAGAGAGCACGUGCUAUGUGCUGGUUUGGGCAAAGCAGUGGCUGGACUCAUGAACAGAGAAGGCGAGGGCACCACAGGCUGUUGACUGGACUGAGUGUGAAGAACUCUUUGUGAAGCGUAACAGUGGAUCUCAGCCAAUCACCUCCCUCAUCUCUUGCUAUGAGUAUUUUUUCCCUGGCCAGACCUAUUUGUAACCUGAAACAAUCUAUCGCUACAUUAAGAUGAAAAUACCAGUAUUUUAUUGAGUAGUAA
Rattus norvegicus (Norway rat) is the source of this 1458-nucleotide non-coding RNA. NCBI's taxonomy places the organism in Eukaryota, Metazoa, Chordata, Mammalia, Rodentia, Muridae. The record is from RefSeq and is a predicted model, not a curated record.